AAAGAUCAGAGUGAACUGGGCCUCACUGAUCAUACACAACCUGGCAACAUCAACCAGGAACACUGGAGCUCGCCAUUAUCCAAGGAUGCUCUCAAAGCUUUUCGGUCUAGGGUAUUUUGAAAUCCCACUCUAUCCAAAACCACUCAUAGUUCAUAUUCAACCCUUCACUGCAAGCUCCUUCCAAAAGAAAUGGAAGAAUACUUAUAGUCCGAACUCAC
This 218-nucleotide long non-coding RNA is filed under the name Zostera marina. RNAcentral's name for it is "long non-coding RNA (ZMAR_LNC002379)". The record is from RNAcentral. Lineage: Eukaryota; Viridiplantae; Streptophyta; Magnoliopsida; Alismatales; Zosteraceae.